CCUACGGGUGGCUGCAGUGGGGAAUAUUGGACAAUGGGGGAAACCCUGAUCCAGCAAUGCCGCGUGUGUGAAGAAGGCCUGCGGGUUGUAAAGCACUUUCGGUUGGGAAGAAAAGUUUGGCGCCAAUACCGCCGAACCUUUACGUUACUGACAGAAGAAGCACCGGCUAACUCUGUGCCAGCAGCCGCGGUAAUACAGAGGGUGCCACCGGUCGUCGGAAUUACGGGGGGGGUCACGUGCGUAGGUGGUGAAAUCCCCGGGCUUAACCUGGGAACUGCAUUCGAUACUACAUGGCUAGAGUAUGGUAGAGGGAAGUGGAAUUUCCGGUGUAGCGGUGAAAUGCGUAGAUAUCGGAAGGAACACCAAUGGCGAAGGCAGCUUCCUGGACUAAUACUGACACUGAGGCACGAAAGCGUGGGUAGCAAACAGGAUUAGAUACCCCUGUAGUC
Molecule: ribosomal RNA, 449 nt
Filed under: uncultured bacterium
Lineage: Bacteria
Description: partial 16S ribosomal RNA
Rfam family: Bacterial small subunit ribosomal RNA
Source: RNAcentral